RNAcentral lists this ribosomal RNA (468 nucleotides) under uncultured bacterium. RNAcentral describes it as "partial 16S ribosomal RNA". It matches the Rfam family "Bacterial small subunit ribosomal RNA", at positions 28 to 507 of the family's 1533-position model. The record is from RNAcentral.
GACGAACGCUGGCGGCGUGCUUAACACAUGCAAGUCGAACGGAAAGGCCCUGCUUUUGUGGGGUGCUCGAGUGGCGAACGGGUGAGUAACACGUGAGUAACCUGCCCUUGACUUUGGGAUAACUUCAGGAAACUGGGGCUAAUACCGGAUAGGAGCUCCUGCUGCAUGGUGGGGGUUGGAAAGUUUCGGCGGUUGGGGAUGGACUCGCGGCUUAUCAGCUUGUUGGUGGGGUAGUGGCUUACCAAGGCUUUGACGGGUAGCCGGCCUGAGAGGGUGACCGGCCACAUUGGGACUGAGAUACGGCCCAAACUCCUACGGGAGGCAACAGUGGGGAAUAUUGCACAAUGGGCGGAAGCCUGAUGCAGCAACGCCGCGUGCGGGAUGACGGCCUUCGGGUUGUAAACCGCUUUCGCCUGUGACGACGCGUGAGUGACGGUAAUGGGUAAAGAAGCACCGGCUAACUACGUG